AAUGUUUGACGCCAUUGACUUUUUUAAACAUGUUUGAUCGUUCGUCUUAUUCAAAAAAUUUAAGUAAUUAUUAAUUUUUUUCCUAUCAUUUGAUUCAUUAAUUAUUAAAUAUAUUUUUAUGUAGGCAUAUAAUUUUACAUAUUUCACAAAAAUUUUUGAAUAAGACGAACGGUCAAACAUGUGCUAAAAAGCCAACGGUGUCAAACAUU
RNAcentral lists this microRNA precursor (209 nucleotides) under Oryza sativa Indica Group (long-grained rice). RNAcentral describes it as "MIR812 microRNA precursor family". It matches the Rfam family "MIR812 microRNA precursor family". Lineage: Eukaryota; Viridiplantae; Streptophyta; Magnoliopsida; Poales; Poaceae. The record is from Rfam by way of RNAcentral.